CAGGAUGAACGCUAGCGGCAGGCCUAAUACAUGCAAGUCGAACGAGAUUAUCCAGCUUGCUGGAUUUGAAAGUGGCGCACGGGUGCGUAACGCGUAUGCAACCUACCUUAAUCAGGGGGAUAGCCCGGAGAAAUCCGGAUUAACACCGCAUAAAAACACAGGAUAGCAUUAUCCAAUGUUCAAAUAUUUAUAGGAUUAAGAUGGGCAUGCGUGUCAUUAGCUAGUUGGCGGGGUAACGGCCCACCAAGGCGACGAUGACUAGGGGAUCUGAGAGGAUGACCCCCCACACUGGUACUGAGACACGGACCAGACUCCUACGGGAGGCAGCAGUAAGGAAUAUUGGUCAAUGGAGGCAACUCUGAACCAGCCAUGCCGCGUGCAGGAAGACUGCCCUAUGGGUUGUAAACUGCUUUUAUCCGGGAAUAAACCUCUUUACGAGUAGAGAGCUGAAUGUACCGGAAGAAUAAGGAUCGGCUAACUCCGUGCCAGCAGCCGCGGUAAUACGGAGGAUCCAAGCGUUAUCCGGAUUUAUUGGGUUUAAAGGGUGCGUAGGCGGCCUGUUAAGUCAGGGGUGAAAGACGGUAGCUCAACUAUCGCAGUGCCCUUGAUACUGAUGGGCUUGAAUGGACUAGAGGUAGGCGGAAUGAGACAAGUAGCGGUGAAAUGCAUAGAUAUGUCUCAGAACACCGAUUGCGAAGGCAGCUUACUAUGGUUUAAUUGACGCUGAGGCACGAAAGCGUGGGGAUCAAACAGGAUUAGAUACCCUGGUAGUCCACGCCCUAAACGAUGAACACUCGCUGUUGGCGAUACACAGUCAGCGGCUAAGCGAAAGCGUUAAG
Molecule: ribosomal RNA, 839 nt
Filed under: Pedobacter sp. AKB-2008-TE23
Lineage: Bacteria; Pseudomonadati; Bacteroidota; Sphingobacteriia; Sphingobacteriales; Sphingobacteriaceae
Description: bacterial SSU rRNA
Rfam family: Bacterial small subunit ribosomal RNA
Source: RNAcentral